UGCCACCAGGUGAGGAAGGACGUAUUUUCUUCCCCUUCCGCCAUGAUUGUAAGUUUCCUGAGGCCUCCCCAGCCGUGCUAAACUGUACAGAGAAGGUAUCAUCUGUGAAGAACAGGACCUCAUCAGACACUAGAUCUGCUGGCACCUUGAUCUUGGAUUUCCCAGCCUCCAGAAUUACAUAUUGAGCAUCCACCAUUGGCCAGGCAGAUGAAAGAAUGGAUCUGGGAGGGAAGCAGUGAGUGGAUGAAGAGAAACUCAAAAAAGCUGAAAAUGCCAGACACAUCCCAAUCUCCCUUGCACCAAGCAGAGCCGUGGCCUGGGCUCAGCCAAUCAGACUCAUCGCUCCUGAGCUGAAUUACAAGCGAAUGAAGUGGAGAAGGAGGGAUCCUGCAGGAUCCAUUCUAGCAAGGGUGUUGGCAGCCACAGCAGCCACAACAGUUUCCCGAGGCGGCAGAUCUGGUGGCUGCAUCUGAAUGGAACAGCAGAGGGCUGGCAUUGUAAACUAUGAGCUGCAGGUCCACAGCAGCAACAGCGGAGUCUGCACAGGGCCAGUUCUGAGCCUGCUUUCCAACAUCAUCACAGCUGUAUGGCCUCGAAGGCUGGUUUUAGGCUUUCUCAUAUACUCUGUGUGCUAUCCAAUA
Molecule: long non-coding RNA, 641 nt
Organism: Gorilla gorilla gorilla (western lowland gorilla)
Lineage: Eukaryota; Metazoa; Chordata; Mammalia; Primates; Hominidae
Exons: 4
Source: RefSeq, a predicted model, not a curated record